GUGCCAGCAGCCGCGGUAACACGGAAGCCCCGAGCAUUGUUCGGAUUCAUUGGGCGUAAAGGGUGCGUAGGCGGCGCGGAAAGUCCGGCGUGAAAGACAGGGGCUCAACCUCUGGACUGCGUUGGAUACUUCCGUGCUUGAGGACUGGAGGGGAGACUGGAAUUCACGGUGUAGCAGUGAAAUGCGUAGAUAUCGUGAGGAAGACCGGUGGCGAAGGCGAGUCUCUGGACAGAUCCUGACGCUGAGGCACGAAGGCUGGGGGAGCGAACAGGAUUAGAUACCCUGGUAGUCCCAGCAGUAAACGAUGUGAGCUUGAUGUGGGGGGAUUUGACCCCUUCCGUGUCGAAGCUAACGCGAUAAGCUCACCGCCUGAGGAGUACGGCCGCAAGGCUAAAACUCAAAGAAAUUGACGGGGACCCGCACAAGCGGUGGAGUAUGUGGCUUAAUUCGAUGCAACGCGAAGAACCUUACCUGGCCUUGACAUGCAUUGUGUCGUCGGUGAAAGCCGGCUAGUCCUGGAAACAGGACGCUUUGCACAGGUGCUGCAUGGCUGUCGUCAGCUCGUGUCGUGAGAUGUUGGGUUAAGUCCCGCAACGAGCGCAACCCUUGUGGUCAGUUACUAACCGGCUUAGCCGGAGGACUCUGGCCAGACUGCCCUGUCAAACGGGGAGGAAGGUGGGGACGACGUCAAGUCAGUAUGGCCCUUAUGGCCAGGGCUGCACACGUACUACAAUGCCCGGUACAAUGUGAACCGAAACCGCGAGGUGGAGGAAAUCGCUCUUGAAAACCGGGCCCAGUUCGGAUUGGAGUCUGCAACUCGACUCCAUGAAGUCGGAAUCG
This 840-nucleotide ribosomal RNA is filed under the name uncultured organism. RNAcentral's name for it is "bacterial SSU rRNA". It matches the Rfam family "Bacterial small subunit ribosomal RNA", at positions 505 to 1334 of the family's 1533-position model. The record is from RNAcentral.